Molecule: non-coding RNA, 71 nt
Organism: Ciona savignyi (Pacific transparent sea squirt)
Lineage: Eukaryota; Metazoa; Chordata; Ascidiacea; Phlebobranchia; Cionidae
Source: Rfam
GCAUUGGUGGUUCAGUGGUAGAAUCCUCGCCUGCCAUGCGGGGGGCCCGGGUUCGAUUCCCGGCCAAUGCA